Molecule: ribosomal RNA, 253 nt
Filed under: uncultured bacterium
Lineage: Bacteria
Description: partial 16S ribosomal RNA
Rfam family: Bacterial small subunit ribosomal RNA
Source: RNAcentral
UACGUAGGGUGCGAGCGUUGUCCGGAAUCAUUGGGCGUAAAGGGCGUGUAGGCGGUUUGUUAAGUCAUGUGUGAAAUCCCCCGGCUCAACCGAGGAACGACGCAUGAAACUGGCAAGCUAGAGUACCGAAGAGGGGGGUGGAAUUCCCGGUGUAGCGGUGAAAUGCGCAGAUAUCAGGAGGAACACCGAUGGCGAAGGCAGGUCUCUGGGCAUUAACUGACGCUGAGGAGCGAAAGCAUGGGGAGCGAACAGG